This 29352-nucleotide long non-coding RNA is filed under the name Triticum aestivum (bread wheat). RNAcentral describes it as "long non-coding RNA (TAES_LNC007790)". Lineage: Eukaryota; Viridiplantae; Streptophyta; Magnoliopsida; Poales; Poaceae. The record is from RNAcentral.
GAAAUGACUGGACGAUGACUAAUUAAACGAGAGACAACAAACCACUUAUCUUCCUUCAUGACUCAAUUGAUCGAGAGCCUUCCCAAGUUGCUUUUGCCGUUUUGUUGGUCACAAUGCAGAUGCUUUGAACCUUUGCACAACCGUGGGCAUGUGGCUCCCGUUAAAUAGCCACAAGAUACCCAUAAAAUUAGCACUUCCAAAGUUCUCAUUUACUCUGUCUUCCUCUCAAGUCUAACCGAAGCCCAACAAACCACCACCUCGGCCAUGGCAACCACCCUCGCCACCGACGUCCGCCUCUCCAUCGCGCACCAGACCCGCUUCGCCCUCCGUCUCGCCUCCACCAUCUCAUCCGCCCUAAGUCUGCUGCCAGCAAUGCCGCCUUCUCCCCGGUCUCCCUCCACUCCGCACUUAGCCUCCUCGACGCUGGCGCGGGCAGUGCCACUCGGGACCAACUCGUCGCCACACUCGGGACAGGCGAGGUCGAGGGACUCCACGCGCUCGCCGAGCAGGUGGUCCAGUUUGUGCUCGCCGACGCGUCCUCUGCUGGAGGUCCGCGUGUCGCCUUUGCCAAUGGCGUCUUCGUGGACGCGUCGCUGCUCCUCAAGCCAUCCUUCCAAGAGAUUGCAGUGUGCAAGUACAAGGCCGAGACCCAAUCCAUGGACUUCCAAACUAAGGUGACCCCCCCCCCCAACUUGGUUCUUACCAGAAAACAAAAACAAUGUAAAAGAAUUUUUAACGGACCUAAUUAUGUACAUUUGAGAGAAACAAUGACAUGCUUAACUAACUACUUCAGCCGCCUGUACAUGUUGGCAUGCCACUGCUUCACUCAGAGAGUUUGUUUUCUGCUGAUGUAAUAUAGAGGUCUAUAUUAAUCUUAUACACAUUCUAGAUUUGUAAUUUAGUGGUUAUCGUAUAUCACUGUUUUUUACACUAGAAGCUUCACCUUUGUAAGCAUAGUUCACACCUGCGACCUUGAACUGUGAAUGAUUUUGCUUAUCCUGUUAGUCAGCAUGAUUGGAGAUAACUAGUCUGUUACUUUUCUGAGCAUACCUAAUCUUUUGGGAGUGUAAUUCUCAUACCGUGCUAUCUAGGGAUAUGAAGGCUGGGGAAUUUGCUGAUGUUUUAUACUUUAAUUACGCUCUUCAGCGAAGUGAGAUUAUAAUUUUGGGAGUAUUUCCUGGAAACUUUGUCUCCAACGUAAGAAGAUGUACAAAAAAUCAGCUAAAGAUUAUAAUUUUGGGAAUAUUUCUGUAAAAGGUAUUGCAUAGUGGUGCUUCGAGAUGUUGUGAUGACCAUUUAAAUUUGUAUGCUCAUAUGAAUUGUUUUUCUAUCAUACGUCGUUGUAUGUGCUGAUUUUACUAUGUGUUUGAAAAUUUUACUAUAGAAAUGCUUUAUAAAAACGCUAGUAUGCUGCUUUGCAUUCUUAGCACAACUAUUAUAUUUUGUUCUUUGAAAGAAUUUUCUAUUGGUUUGUUCAAAGGUUGGUGGCACAGCAGUACCGUCAAACUAUUUUCAUUACAUAACUGACCUUUGUUUAUUUUUUCCAUGGCCCAGGCCGCUGAAGUUACUACUCAAGUGAACUCAUGGGUAGAGAAAGUCACGAGCGGUCGCAUCAAGGACAUUCUCCCCUCAGGAUCUAUUGACAAUACCACUAAACUUGUUCUUGCCAAUGCCCUUUAUUUCAAAGGAGCUUGGACAGAGCAGUUUGAUUCAUAUGGAACAAAAAACGACUACUUCUACCUUCUUGAUGGGAGCUCAGUUCAAACACCAUUCAUGUCCAGCAUGGAUGACCAAUACCUUUUGUCUUCUGAUGGGUUGAAGGUACUUAAGCUUCCUUACAAGCAAGGUGGGGACAAUAGGCAGUUCUCCAUGUAUAUCCUUCUUCCAGAAGCACCGGGUGGUCUCUCAAGCUUGGCCGAAAAAUUGAGUGCUGAACCAGACUUCCUGGAGCGGCAUAUCCCAAGGCAGAGGGUUGCACUUAGGCAAUUCAAGCUCCCCAAGUUCAAGAUAUCAUUUGGAAUUGAAGCAUCCGAUUUGCUCAAAUGUUUGGGCCUCCAGCUUCCAUUCGGCGAUGAAGCGGAUUUUUCGGAGAUGGUGGAUUCCCUAAUGCCACAAGGUCUUCGUGUCUCAUAUGUUUUCCACCAAGCGUUUGUGGAAGUGAACGAACAAGGAACUGAGGCUGCAGCAUCAACUACUAUUAAAAUGGUCCCGCAACAGGCAAGGCCGCCCUCGGUCAUGGAUUUCAUCGCGGAUCACCCUUUCCUCUUCCUUCUCCGGGAAGACAUCUCUGGUGUGGUCCUAUUCAUGGGUCAUGUGGUCAAUCCCCUCUUAUCUUCGUAAUGUGUUUGCUCUGAAAGUGUGUGUUGUCAGUUGCCCUCAGCCAUUACAUGUAAGGGAAGGGUUUCGACGGUCAGUCAUGUUACCGAUACAAUAAAUCCAAUAAAUGGUUCUCCUAAGAUAUCCAAUAAAUUGUCUUUUAAUAACUGCUUGCUUGUUGUGCAAAGGAAAACCAAUUGGACUAUUUUUCAUUAAUCAUUGUGGAUUUGUGGUAGUGCGGAUUUCUCAAAGAACUACUCAUGCCAAAAGAAAAAAUCUAAGUCAUCUUGAUUAGUACUAUCCGACAUGAAUCUCAUCGUCAUUAACAUCUAUAUUUCACAAAAAAAUGCCAAUGGCCACUUUUUGAGAUUGAAUAUGCUCUUCAAUUUCUCUUCUUCUUAGAUUUUUCAUAUCCUCGCUUAUCUUUAGAUACACUAUAACUCCUUGAGAUUGGAGCUCCCAGGGCCGAUUGUGUUGAUCGAUUUACAUGGCCCCACAUGAACGGACGUGACCUUCCACGCUACCCUCUUCCUUGCCGCAGAUCCUUCCUCAGUUUCUCUCCCUUCCGAGAAUCUAUUCCGACAUAGAGACAACGCCUCCAGCACUAUAGUUGGUGCGGCCGACCGCUUUCUGGCUCUCCUCUCCGAUUCCCUGCCUCAGAGCAUCUACAGCCUCAAACACGGUGUGUCUGCGGGCACUGAUCGGUCACUUCACAAAUUGGCAUCUACAUUCGUGUAUUUCAUAUCAGAUCUCCUAUAUCCAUACUAAACUAUGUAGCAUUGAUCAAACUACGUAUAUCAUCAAACGGACAAAAAAUGCACUAUACGUUCAUCAAAAGAUCAUCAACGGAUCUUCGAAAUACCGCCAAAGUUCACAUAGUGCACAUAAAUGACGGACAACUUUAAACUACGUCUAAAAACUGAGCGGAUCUUCAUCACUUCCUCGCCGGAACUUUCCCUUUUCGGUCGCCAGCACAGCUGUAGGCGUCGGCGGCUGGUGGAGGAUCGUCCGAGUCGUCGGACGAGGCGCCGUGGUCGUCACUAUCGUCAGAGGAGGAGCAGAGGAUGAUGAGGCGUUUGAGGCGCCGGACGGCCCGGUCCUGCUGCCGUUUGAGCUCCGCCAGCCGAGCCGCCUCCAAUGCUUUCUCCUCUGCCUCGCGCUCGAACUGCUCGAUGGCAAGCCGGAGCACCUUGGCGUUCUUCCAGCGGAGCUGCCGAUCAUCCGUCUCCGCUGUCGUAAGCGACCGGCAGUAGACCCAAGUGGGGAACCGCUCGUCCCCGUCGAGCUCCGCCGGAAACCCGCGGCGGCGGCGGACAUAUUACUCCUCCGCGUCCCUCUCCCUUGCCCGCUGCCUGCGGUGGCGGGCGUCGGACAGAUUUCUCCGCCGCGUCCCUCUUCCUUGCUCGCUGCCUGUCGUGGCGGGCGGCGCGCGCCUAGCGUGCAUGCCGCGCUCGCUGGGCGGGCACAAGUACCCACCGCUACCCAUGUGGGGGAGCAGCAGCCGACGAGGACAGGGGAUAGUGUGGGGGAGGCGCGGACUGCGCAGCCCUCGUGGCGCUGCGUGUGGGCCGGGAGGGGCCUGCGCCGGCGUCCUCGCUGCGCUGGAAGGGGAGAGGUGAGGCGGCAGAUCCGGAACUGACCUCCGUGUCCACCUUGGACCUCUCGACGGCAAUGCGGAGAGCCAGCACCUCGUCGAUGUUGACGUCAGAGUCGGAGCGGCUGCCGGAACUAGACAUGGUCGCCGGAGUCGUUUGACUGAAUCGAAUCUGGGAAAUCCGAGGAGGAGAAGAGAUGAAACGAGAGCGGAGCGAGGUAGGGUUUUCGAUUGGGGAUAUUUGUGGUGACGGCGUGGGGCCGGUGUGGACCGGGCUACCAUGGCGGACGCACCCGGGGCGCUCGAUAUCCGCCCUAGAUUUGAUCUGAAUAUGAGGGGAGUGAGACAGUCCAAGCAUUUGAGGCUUGUUUGAGGACACGUCUGGAUCAAAUUUUCAUGCUCGGUCAAUGAUCGCGCCAUCCGUCCGGACGUUUGAGACGGAUUUAGAAUGCGCGCCUGUAGAUGCUCUCGGCCUCAAUCUUUCGCCUCCAAACGUUCCCCCGCGACCAACCCAAUCCAGGCCUCGUUCACCGUCUAGCAGUCGUCUGCGCCGCCUCCCGCAAUUCCUCCGACCUCCGGUGCAACACUUCAUGUAACUUCCCUGGAUCAUCGCGCUUCCCGCGCCGUCUCGUCGACAGUCGACGUGCGCUUCUCAUGUUCAAUUUUUCAAGGAUAGUGUCACCGCUUUUUUCUCAUAGUGUUUGGCUGCUCGAUCACCUGGCCGCUGUUAAUCUCAUCUCGGUGAUGCAGCAAACAAAGGAGAGUGCGGGUCUGCAGUUCAAGGUCAGACUGCAGUGCAACUGUGCAAUGUAAGUUUGACUGACACGCUUGGAUCUGCCGCGUCUUUGUGCUGGGUGCUAGUCGCUGCCCUGCUAGAUGCAUGGAAGAGUUGCAUGUAUACACACCGGUGUUGAGCGUUGGUGGCCUCAUUGGUGACUGUCGUGGUUCUAAGUCUGACAAUAGAAUGGGGGGUAAGUAUGGAAAGGCAAGGUCCUAGCUAUGGAGUAGUUGUACACACGGGUGUUUAGCGAGUUUAGACCCUUCUCUGAGGAAGUAACAGCCCUACGUCUCGGAGCCCGGAGGCGGUCGACUGAUCUCUAUGUAUAUGAGUUACAGAAGUGCGAACCUUUCUACCAGUGGAGGGGGGUGGCUUAUAUAGAGGACGCCAGGACCCCAGCCAGCCCACAUAGAGGAGGGUUAAAGUACAUUAAGGCUGGGCGUUACUGGUAACGCCCUAUAUAAAGUGUCAUCAUGACCAUUAAGACUAUUUAAUUACAGACCGUUUGGAUGCAGAGUAGAUCCUGAACUUCCGAUAGUCGAGUGCGUCUUCAUGGUCGAGUGUCUUCUAGCUAGUCGGGUGGAGUCUCCCUUGGUAGAGUGGAGCUUCUUUUGGUCGACCGGAAGGUAGCUUCGUAUGAUAAUGUCCUUUGGCAUGGUAUCCUAGAUAGGUCCAUGACCCUAACCUAGGUACAUAACCUCAUCAUUAGCCCCCGAAUGGAUCGAGGUUCGAGUGAGGAAGGAGUUGACGAUUUUCUCCGACUUAUUUACUGUACUUUGAUUGUGUCGUAUCUUGGAUCGGCGAUUCUUCUUUCGGCGCUGGCGUCGACUUUUACUUCAGUCGCCUUGAUCCAUUCUUAUCUUUUGUCGAGUGAACUUUUGAACUCCGGUGAACUUACGAGCGACGGAUCGCGGGAAGGAUAUCGUCUGACAGAUUGAUCUGCUGUUAGCGGAUUUUGCGGGAUCUGAAAUUUGGGAAGCGCACGAAGCGGGGCAAUCCGCGGCAAUCGGGCGGGAUAAGGCAUGGACGCCUUGAUUUCCGCGUCGCCUUUUUCGCCACGUAUCGUACGUGUGCGACUGUUUCGGGAUGUGACAGAUCUGCUCGGACCCACUCGUCAGCCACUCGGAAGCGCCCUUAUAUAAAGCGUCGGGGAAGAGUUUUUGAACAGUGCCUCCCCAUUCUCCUCUCUUCCCUCUCUGCCUCCGCCCACGGCGCCUGCUCCUAGCUCCGCCUUAUCCACCUCUCGAGCGCUUCGCCGACGAUAAUGGUGAAGGAGAAGACGGCGGUUCUAGAGCGCGCGAAGAAGGUGACGGCGACGGGGCAAGCGAAGGGGAGACCGUCCAGUCGGGGCGGAUCUUCGUCGAGGUCCCGCCUGCCGAAGGGUUGGGUCCAAGGGGAUUGGAUCCGCUCGACCAUCACUGGGAAGGACCUCGACGACCUGGCCAAUGAGGGACUGAUCCCCCACGGGUCAGCAAGGCCCCCGGGGUCCGAGUGUCAACCGCAGCCGCAGGAGGGUGAGCGCGUUCUCUUAGCCACUCACGUAGAUCGUGGUUUUUCUCUGCCGCCGAGUGUGUUCUUCCGUGGGUUUCUGAAAUUCUUUGGGGCGCAACUCCACCAUUUCAAUCCCAAUUCCAUCGCCUAUCUUGCUGCCUUUGUGUCCAUGUGCGAGAACUUCCUGGGUUGUCGACCGCACUGGGGUCUCUUCAAGCACAUAUUCACCUGUCGGUCGCAGACCGUAAAAAAGGCGAGCUCGGGUGAUGAGAGGACCAAGGUUAUUCAGAUGUGCGGGGGUCUUGGGAUUCAGUUGAGGAAUAAGAGCACUUUCCCGGCCAUGACCCUUCCUGAGUCGGUCAGAGGGUGGCAGUCGACUUGAUUCUACUGCCAAGACGAGUCGACGCCGGGGCAGUCGACUGGUCUCCCUCCGUUCUCCAUGGACCGAGUGGUCAAACCGUCUUCUCUGAAGGUGCUUCCUGAGGAGAAAGCCGAGGUAAAAAUGUUGGUGGAGCGCAUGGUCCAACUCGUUCGGGACGGAGUGACGGGCAUGGAUCUUCUGAAAGUAUUCCUUAGGCGGCGCAUCCAACCGCUCCAGUAUCGAGGCCACCCGAUGUGGUUGUACUGCGGUACCGAAGACACCACUCGGGUCCAUCCAGAGGCAGUCGACGACGCCACGCUGGAGAGGUGGGUGACCUCCAUCACAGGGAACAAGGACAACCGUCGAGGAGUGAGGAGGAUCCCGCCACUCGACUGUACCUAUACGCCGGACAAGGUAUGGCCGCUUAUCUCCGAGUGUAAUUUUGUUUUAUCCAUUCUGCUUUGCCACAAAUUGGUCGAUUGAUCUUUGUUUUGCUCUGUUGUCUGAUAGGCCACCACUGAAUUGUACUCGAUUCCCAAUGGGGCGCAGACGCCGACUGAGGAGGAGGAAGGAAGCGGGGGCGAAAGCCCGGAGGAGUGGGAUUCAGAUGUCGACGACGACGAUGAGGGUGAUGACUCUAGUGAGGAGGAAGAAGAGGAGGAAGAGGAGGAAGUUGCACCUCCCCGCUCGGAAAGACGCUCGAAGCUUGCCCAUGAUCCAGCGACUGAGCGGGGUAAGGGGGUCGCAACCGCUUCUCAGUCGACCAAGCGCCCUCGGACCACUUCUCCGGCGCCGACUGAGAAGGCUCCGAAGCAAUCUCGAGUGGCACCGUCGAAGCCUGCAAAGGUCUUGCCGAAGAUGAAGAUGGUGAUCCCCACUAUCUCAGGGUAAUGGUAGUUUUGAGCUUUCCCUGUUUCAUGAACUUGUUCUUGGUCGACUCAUGGUCCAAUCGACUGACUUUUGGAACUGCAGCGUUGCUACUUCCGACACUUCGGCGAGAGCCGAAGACCACGAGAUGGAGGAUGCUGCAACCUCGAACCCUGGUAUGACUCCUGCGUUGCCGUUUUCAGUCGACUGACUCAUUGUCUCUAAUUUUUAUUCUUUCUGCAGUUUCAUCUAACAUUGUUAUUGACCUUCCUGACGACGACGAUGAAUAACCACCACGGCCGAGGAAAAGCAAGAAAACGUCGGCUGGCAAGGCGACUCAGGAUGUGCCGGCACCCGAGACGUUAGUCGUGGAGGGAGACAAUGUCACUCGACCCACCGUAACCUUCGCGGUGCCGUUGAUGAGUGCUCGCCCUUCAUCGUCGAGUGCUGCUCAACCCUCGCUUUUCUCCACCUACCCCGUUCCAGAAGACCAAGCCAGUGCUGCCAAAGAAGCGAUACGCCAGGCGGGGGUCAUGAUGGAGCAAGUGAAGGCAAUUCGAGAAGCCAGCCAGGCAGCCUAUGACGCCAGUUCGGCACUCCAGAGUAAUGUUCAGGUCAGUCGGUCACUGCCUGUUCUUCUUUCUGAAAUUCCUAGAGUCUGUCCUACACCCAGUGGGUGUGUGUCGAUUAAAAUUCCGGGUUAGUGGGGGCACGCUGAGUGCACCCACUGGGUGUAGUCCCCAAGGCUAUGGUGGACUGCUGGCAGUCGACCAUAGUCUUAAUGCUUUGAGUUUUUCUUUACUCGACAAGGUCGAAUAGAUUCAUAGACCGGUGGGGGCACGCUGAGUGCACCCACUGGGUGUAGUCCCCGAGACUGUGGUCGACUGCUGGCAGUUGACUAUAGUCUAAAGAACAUUGCCUCUCUUUUUUUUGUUGGUCGACUAGUCGACUCUUGAUGAAACUAGUGGGGGCACGCUGAGUGCACCCACUGGGUGUAGUCCCCGAGACUAUGGUCGAAUGUUUGCAUUCGACCGUAGUCUUAGAAACGCUAUGAUUUUUCCUUACUCACUCGGAAGUGAAUUUUCUUUGACGUCUGUCGAUUGAUUCUUCGUAGAAAUCAUGUGACCUUGUGGCUCGUUAUACUGAGUUGGAGAACAAACACAUUCAGCUCGAGCUCGAUCUGAAACUGGCCCAAGAGACCUUGACGAAGGCGAAGGAGGAAGCUAAAGGUAUGCUUGGUGAGGCCUUUGACGACUGCCUUUGCCUCUCACUUGUUUCCGAAUCUGAUCUCACUGUAACUUUGUAGGCAAAGUGAUGGACGCCCUGAAGAAACAAGAGCUUGACUUGGCUGAGAUGCAAAAGACUGCUUUAGAGAAGACCAGGCUAGCGGAUGAGAAGCUGGCUUCAGUGACUAAGCUUGAAGAAGAAAACACCAAUCUGAAAGCUGCUCUUGAUGCUGCCAACCAGGAGGUCACUUAACUGAAAAGCGACAAGACCACCCUGAAUGACAAGGCCAGUGAGUUGAAGAGAAAGAAGAAUGAUCUAGAGGCUUAUCUGGGUGGACUCGCCAAGAAGUUGUUCCUCAUGCUUGAAGGUAAUCCUUUGUAUCGAACAAAUAUUUUAAUUGUAACCUCUGACUGUUUGUCUUGACUCGGUGGUUGUGCUUGCAGAAUUUUGUCAGAACUUUGAAGAGGAGACUGGUCGACUGGAAGUGAACCUGGACCCCAUCAACUCUCCUGUGAAAGAUGAAGUUGCCAUGAACAUGCUCCGACUUGAAUCUCGUGUUGCUGCUAUCAUCGAUUAUCUCGCAAGGCUGAAGGUCGCAACUUCCUGCAUCGACACAACACUCUGGCCAAGAGAGACACUCCAGAACGACCUCGAGUCUCUGAUGACUCGACUGAACGAGGUCCCAAGUCGAGUGCAGGAGUGGAAGAAGUCUUCGGCCAGGUGUGGCGCGGAUGUUGCUCUAUCUCUGGUCCGCGUUCACUGCAAGGAUGCAUGAGAGGACAAGCUGGUGGCUCUCAGGGUGGCCAACACCAAGAAGCACGAUUUCAGAUCCUUCAUGGAGACCUUCAUUGCCGCUGCCACUCGGAUUGCAGAUGGAAUCGAUCUGGACGAGUUUGUGGCACCUUCCAGCCCUCCACAGGAGGGGUAAAAAACUUUUGAGCUUGAUACUUUAAAUUUGCCUCGGUAUGCCGAGUGAGUUUUGUAACCGACAAACCUUAACAGGCCUAGCGCCUGAGCACUUUCGGUUCCGCUAGGUGUUAUCCAAACUUGGGUUCGUCGCUGAAUAUGUUUGCAUUUGGUUUGAGGCGUCUUUUGCAGGUUAAAGCGAAGCGCUUAUUGCCAUCGACUUGUCCCCCAAUUCACUUAGGCGGGCACUGGGCUGCAGCUAAGUCCCCGAGCGAGAGGUUUUCCCUCCACUCGGUAGGAUUUCAGACACUUAGGCGAGCACUGGGCCGCAGCUAAGCCCCCGAGUGGGAGGUCUGCUCUCCACUCGGUAGGAUUUCAGAAACUUAGGCGAGCACUGGGCUGCAGCUAAGCCCCCGAGUGGGAGGUCUGCUCUCCACUCAGUAGGAUUUCAAACACUUAGGCGAGCACUGGGCUGCAGCUAAGCCCCCGAGUGGGAGGUCUGCUCUCCACUCGGUAGGAUUUCAGACACUUAGGCGAGCACUGGGCUGCAGCUAAGCCCCCGAGUGGGAGGUCUACUCUCCACUCGGUAGGAUUUCAGACNNNNNNNNNNNNNNNNNNNNNNNNNNNNNNNNNNNNNNNNNNNNNNNNNNNNNNNNNNNNNNNNNNNNNNNNNNNNNNNNNNNNNNNNNNNNNNNNNNNNNNNNNNNNNNNNNNNNNNNNNNNNNNNNNNNNNNNNNNNNNNNNNNNNNNNNNNNNNNNNNNNNNNNNNNNNNNNNNNNNNNNNNNNNNNNNNNNNNNNNNNNNNNNNNNNNNNNNNNNNNNNNNNNNNNNNNNNNNNNNNNNNNNNNNNNNNNNNNNNNNNNNNNNNNNNNNNNNNNNNNNNNNNNNNNNNNNNNNNNNNNNNNNNNNNNNNNNNNNNNNNNNNNNNNNNNNNNNNNNNNNNNNNNNNNNNNNNNNNNNNNNNNNNNNNNNNNNNNNNNNNNNNNNNNNNNNNNNNNNNUAAGCCCCCGAGUGGGAGGUCUGCUCUCCACUCGGUAGGAUUUCAGACACUUAGGCGAGCACUGGGCUGCAGCUAAGCCCCCGAGUGGGAGGUCUGCUCUCCACUCGGUAGGAUUUCAGAAACUUAGGCGAGCACUGGGCUGCAGCUAAGCCCCCGAGUGGGAGGUCUGCUCUCCACUCGGUAGGAUUUCAAACACUUAGGCGAGCACUGGGCUGCAGCUAAGCCCCCGAGUGGGAGGUCUGCUCUCCACUCGGUAGGAUUUUUGAAUUGGUGGCGCAACUCGGAAGGAGAGGGUAGCAGUCGACCUGCACCUCGUCCUCCUUGCGGAACGCAUGUUGUACUUGUACUUAGGCGAGUUCUUGGACUGCAGCUAGGCCUCCGAGUGGAAGGCUGGCUUACCACUCGGUAGGAUUUUAUUUAUCUUAGGCGAGUACUUGGACUGCAGCUAAGCCUCCGAGUGGAAGGCUGGCUUACCACUCGGUAGGAUUUUAUUUAUCUUAGGCGAGUACUUGGACUGCAGCUAAGCCUCCGAGUGGAAGGCUGGCUUACCACUCGGUAGGAUUUUAUUUAUCUUAGGCGAGUACUUGGACUGCAGCUAAGCCUCCGAGUGGAAGGCUGGCUUACCACUCAGUAGGAUUUUAUUUAUCUUAGGCGAAACGGAUUUUACAGCUAAGCCUUCGUGUGGGAGACUGACUCACCACUCGGUUAGGAUUUGUUUUUACAGACUUAGGCGAAUCGGAUUCGCAGCUAAGCCACCCACUGGGGGAUUGUUUUAUAUGGACAAAAGUAAUAACAAUCACUGGGAAAACUAUAAAGCUCUUGUCUUUGAUAAAUAAACUACAGGAGUACUUUUAUUACAACUCAUCCGAGUGAAUACCUAAGUGUAAAAGGGGCGGAGAAGCUCCGCGUUCCAAGCUCGGGGCUCGUCAAUCUGAUGCUUGACAUUGUAAAGACGGUAUGCUCCAUUGUGGAGAACCUUGGUGACCAUGAAGGGACCUUCCCAAGAAGGAGCAAGCUUGUGUGGUUUCUGCUGGUCCACUCGGAGAACUAAAUCUCCUUCCUGGAAGGCUCGACUCUUCAUGUUUUUGGCGUGGAAGCGACGCAAGUCUUGUUGAUAAAUGGUCGAUCUGAUCAGAGCCAUCUCUCUUUCUUCCUCUAAAAGGUCGACUGCGUCCUGCCGCGCUUGUUCUGCUUCAGCUUCGGUGUAGAGCUCGACUCGGGGAGCGUUGUGGAGAAGAUCACUCGGCAAGACUGCUUCAGCUCCGUAGACCAAGAAGAAUGGAGUUCUUCCAGUCGACCGGUUGGGUGUGGUCCUUAACCCCCAAAGCACCGAGGGAAGUUCGUCAACCCAUGCACCAGCCGCAUGCUUGAGAUCACGCAUCAAACGGGGCUUCAACCCUUUGAGAAUUAAACCGUUGGCUCAUUCUGCCUGUCCAUUCGUCUGCGGAUGGGCAACUGAAGCAUAGUCGACUCGCGUGCCUUGAGACGUGCAGAAAGCUCUGAAUUCUUCAGAAUCGAAGUUUGACCCGUUAUCAGUGAUGAUGUUGUGCGGGACUCCAUAUCUAAAUAUCAGUUCUCGGAUGAAGCUGACAGCGGUACCAGCAUCGAGGUUCUUGAUGGGUUUGGCCUUAAUCCACUUGGUAAACUUGUCGACUGCUACCAGCACAUGUGUGAAACCGCUUCUUCCUGUUCUCAAUGGGCCAACCAUAUCCAAACCCCAUACAACAAAGGGCCAGACAAGUGGUAUGGUCUUUAAGGCUGAGGCAGGCUUGUGUGACAUAUUGGAGUAAAAUUGACAUCCCUCACACUUGUCGACUAUCUCCUUCGCCAUUUCAUUCGCUCUGGGCCAAUAAAAACCAGCUCGGUAUGCUUUGGCCACGAUGGUCCGAGAAGACGCAUGAUGGCCACAGGUCCCCGAGUGGAUGUCAUUGAGAAUCAUUCGACCUUCCUCCGGUGUUAUGCAUUUCUGGCUGACUCCAGUCGCACUUUCUCUGUACAACUGACCUCUCAUGACGGUGAAGGCUUUGGACCGGCGGACGAUCUCUCGAGCUUCUUCUUCAUUCUCGGGGAGUUCCUUCCUCAAAAUAUAGGCGAUGUAGGGCACUGUCCAAUCGGGAGUGAUGACCAAAACUUCCAUGAUCAAGUCGACCACCGCUGGGACCUCGACUUCAGUCGGAUCUGUGGCGCUUUUAGGCUGCGGGGCUUCUGCAGUGAAAGGAUCCUCUUGAACCGAUGGCGUGUAGACAUGUUCCAAAAACACGCCACUCGGAAUGGCUUCCCUCUUGGAACCUAUCUUUGCCAAGUCAUCGGCUGCUUGAUUUUUCAGUCGGGGAACGUGAUGGAGUUCUAACCCUUCGAAUUUCUUUUCAAGCUUCCUCACUGCAUUGCAGUAUCUAGUCAUGGAUGGGCUUCUCACGUCCCACUCCUUCAUCACCUGAUUGACCACCAAAUCUGAGUCGCCGUAAACCAUAAGGCGACGGACGCUGAGUGAAAUGUCCAUGCGCAACCCAUACAACAGUGCUUCAUAUUCUGCUUCAUUGUUGGAGGAAUCAAAGUGGAUCUGGAGCACAUAUCUGAGCUUAUCUCCUCGGGGAGAAACCAAAACUACCCCAGCACCAGAACCAUUUAACAUCUUAGAGCCAUCAAAGAACAUGGUCCAAUGCUCCGAGUGAACUUGAGUCGGCUGCUGCUGUUCAAUCCACUCGGCAAGGAAAUCUGCUAUAGCCUGGGACUUAAUGGCUUUCUUUGCCUCGAAUUUGAUAUCAAGGGGAAGGAGUUCAAUCGCCCAUUUAGCCACUCGACCAGUUGCAUCUCUGUUGUGCAGAAUCUCCGACAAUGGUGCGUCGCUGACGACUAUAAUGUCAUGAUCAGAGAAAUAAUGAGCAACCUUCUUCAUGGUCAUGUAGAUCCCAUAUACGAGCUUCUGAUAAUGAGGAUAUCUUUGCUUCGAUCGGGUCAAAACUUUAGAGAGAUAAUACACUGGGCGCUGAACUUUGAAGGCUUUCCCUUCUACUUCCCGCUCGACCGUAAGUAUUGUACUGACGACUUGUCCUGUGGCUGCAAUAUAAAGCAACAGUGGCUCUUUACUGAUUGGAGCGGCAAGCACCGGCUAGGUGGAGAGCAGAGUUUUUAACUCGGCAAACGCUGCAUCAGCUUUUGGAGUCCACUCGAACUUGUCUGCCUUCUUCAUCAGUCGGUAAAGGGGCAACGCCUUUUCACCGAGGCGAGAGAUGAAUCGACUUAACGCGGCCAGGCAUCCAGUAAGCUUCUGGACAUCGUGCACACGCACAGGGCGUUUCAUUCGGAGUAUGGUGCCAACUUUUUCUGGGUUAGCAUCGAUUCCUCGUUCCGAAACGAGAAAACCGAGUAACUUCCCACCAGGUACUCCGAAUGUGCACUUUGAAGGAUUGAGCUUGAUAUCAUACCUCCUGAGAUUGGCAAAUGUUUCAGCUAAGUUAGUCAACAGGUCGGAACCCUUUCGCGACUUGACCACGAUAUCAUCCAUGUAUGCUUCCACAUUCCAACUAAUUUGAGUGAGUAAACACUUUUGAAUCAUUCUCAUGAAUGUGGCUCCGGCAUUCUUGAGGCCGAAAGGCAUGGUGAUAUAGCAGAAGCACCCGAAUGGGGUGAUGAAAGCUGUUUUGAUUUCAUCGGGCCCAUACAGACGGAUCUGAUGAUACCCGGAAUAAGCGUCCAGAAAAGACAAUCUCUCGCACCCUGCGGUCGAGUCGACAAUUUGGUCGACGCGAGGGAGAGGAAAAUGAUCUUUCGGGUAGGCCUGAUUGAUAUGUUUGAAAUCAAUGCACAUACGAAGGGAAUUGUCCUUUUUGCGAACCAUAACGACAUUGGCGAGCCACUCGGAGUGGUAUAUCUCUCGGAUGAACUCUGCUGCAAGGAGUCGAGCCACCUCUUCGCCAAUGGCUUUUUUGUUCUGAACAGCGGACCGUCGAAGAUGUUCUUUAACGAGUUUUGCCUUUGAAUCGACUCUAAGGCGAUGCUCAGCCAGUCCCCUGGGAACACCUGGCAUGUCAGCUGGCUUCCAUGCGAAGAUGUCCCAGUUCUCACGGAGGAACUGGAUGAGCGCUUCUUCCUAUUUAGAGUCGGGUGUAGUGGAAAUAUGGGUCGGAGCUGCAUUGGGGUCAGUCGGGUGGAUGUGAACUGGCUUCGUCUCACCGGACGACUGAAAUGCUGACUCUGUGGCGGGCUUCUUGGCUCGCAGUAAAUCACUCGGAUCUGCGUUCUUCUUGUACCCCUCUAGCUCUAUCACUGUUAUCUGGUCAUCCGCAAUCUUUGAGCCUUUCUGGAAACACUCUUCUGCUUUCUUCCGGUUACCAGUGACGGUGAUCACGCCUUUGGGGCCAGGCAUCUUUAACUUGAGGUACACGUAACAUGGUCGAUCCAUGAAGCGGGCGUAGGCUGGUCUUCCCAAGAUAGUGUGGUAGGCGCUCUGGAAAUCCACGAUUUCAAAUGUCAGCUUCUCUUUGCGGAAAUGCUUCGAGUCACCGAACACCACAUCCAGAGCUAUUUGGCCGAGUGACUCAGCCUUCUUUCCUGGGAUGACUCCGUGAAAACUCAUGUUGCUGGAACUGAGCCUGGACAUCGGAAUGCCCAUUCCCUUGAGCGUCUCUGCAUAUAGUAUGUUCAACCCGCUGCCGCCAUUCAUCAAUACCUUCGUCAGUCGAGUGCCUUCGACGACCGGGUCGGCCACCAGUGCUUGCCUCCCAGGGGUGGCAAUAUGAGUAGGAUGGUCCGACUGGUCGAAAGUAAUGGGAGUUUGCGACCAUCUCAGAUAGUUUGGUGUUGCUGGUGCGACCAUAUUGACUUCACGGUUGAUCACUUUCAGUCGACUUUUGCUCUCUACAUCAGCAAAAAUCAUCAGAGUGAAGUUGACAUGAGGGUACUCACCAUCACUGUCCUGCUUGUCCUCAGCCUUGUCUGACUCCUUCUCUUUGUCCUUCAGCUGUUUCCCUUGGAACUGCUGGAUUAAGAGCCGGCACUGGCGAGUGGUAUGCUUUGGGUAGAUGAAGUUACCCUCUUCGUCUUUCUUCGUGUGGAUAUGACACGGCAGGUCCAUCACAUCAUUACCCUCCUUAUCUUUUACCUUCUUGGGGUUCCAAGAUCCUUUGGGCUUCCCUUUAAAUUUGCCCUGUGUCACGGCUAGAGCCUCUCCAGGAGCUGCUGGCUCGGCCUUCCGCUUCUGCUUCCGACUGGAGUUUCCUUUAUCCGACUAACUCGGCUUGUACUUGCCGCUCCGGAGUCGGUCCUCUUCUUCGCCGUUGGCGUACUUGGUGGCUAUUUCCAUCAUCCGACUCAGGGUCAUGUCUCCAGUUCGACCAAACUUCAGGCUCAACUCUUUGUUCUUGACGCCAUCUUUGAAGGCGCAAACCGCUUGAUGGUCCGACACAUUCUCUACAGUGUGAUGCAAAGUGAUCCACCUCUGGAUGUAAUCCCUCAGUGUUUCACUCGACUUUUGUACACAAACUUGUAGCUCAGUUAAUCCAGCAGGUCGCUUGCAAGUUCCCUCAAACGUCCUGACGAACACUCGAGAAAGAUCUACCCAGGUGUAAAUGUUGCUGGGAGCUAACUGAUUCAACCAUGCCCUGGCUGAACCUCCUAGAAUAAGUGGCAAAUGUUUCAUGGCCACCUCAUCAUUACCGCCACCAAUCUGAACAGCCACUCGGUAGUCUUCGAGCCAAGUUUCAGGCUUAGACUCUCCGGUGAACUUAUUCACCCCAUUCGCCAACCUGAAGUUGGGGGGUAUCACUGCGGUUCUGAUCGCUCUGCGAAAACAUUCUGGACCUGAAACAUGGACUCGGCUGCUUGUGGGCACAUCUCUGUCAUGACCACCUCUAUGAGCUCUGUUUCAGUCGACCAAACCUUGCACGAUGAUGGAUCUCGCGUCAAAGCCUGGCUCUCUGGGGUCGACUGGAGCUCUCUGCCCAACACUGAGCUGGCUUCUAUCAUCUUGCUGCCGAUGGGCGUUAGACCCACUUCUCGGAGGAGGAGUGGGCACUCGACGCCUGUCAUCACGAUCAAAUCGAUCAUCAUAGUGGUCCCGCCGGCCUUCACGUCCCACGCGCCUCGGAGGCGACCUUGGACUGUCAGCUGACUGAAUAGUAUUCGCAGCAACAGAUCGACUGUGAAUCCUGUUAGGUGACUGUGACACAGCUGAAUUCUGAUCUCCUGCUGCCCGGAGCAAAUCUCUGAUCUGCAUCAAGCCUCUUCCAGCCUCUGACUGAGAGGGCUGAAUUGACUCUGCUAUGCGGGCUGCAGCUGCCAAAUUCUGAAUUGGGGUUCGAUAUACCUGAGUUGGUUGCGGAAAGAGCUGACGUCGAUUGGAGUUAGUCGCUCGUUGACGCGCAUGCUCGUCGAGUGCUCGCUGAAGGUUCUCCAGUCGAGUGUGUUCAGCCAGGUUGGCUAAACGCGCCUCUUCCAGGGCACGAGCCUCAGGAGUUUCUCCUGCAAUGGGAGUAUGCAGGGCAUCCAUGUUCUGGCGGCGAAGUUCUUCCCUCUGCUGGGAAGUGAGCGGCUCGGGUUGGUACUCUUCAUGGGCUUGAGCAGGGUCAUCCUCGUCGUCCAUCCCGUCGCCACGGGGGAAACCGGGAGGACUACGGGGCCCAUUGACCAUCAGGACCUCCGCCGUCGGAUCACUGCUAUCGCACUCGGAUGCAGCCUCUACAGAGCCAGUCGACAGGUCGAAUAGGCCGUAGAGAGAUCCGUCAGGCUCAAUCGCCGCGACUUGGGUGGUGGCCGAUUGGCGAGCCACUGCGUGUCUCACCCAUCGCUGGAGCCUCAACCGACCGGAGCGCUUGCGCUGGCGGGAGACAGGGAGGGAGGACGGCGCAGGAGUCGACCGGUAUGGGGUCGACGGCUGCCGCAGCAAGACGCUGCGGACACACACCCGAAAGUGCAUCGCCCCGCGGACGGGGAGCGCUCCGAUGUCGAGUGGUGCCUCCUGGAGCCAAGCGGAGUCGUCGGCGAUGAAAGUGAGCGCACCGAGACGGAUCUCGUGGCCCUCGACCAGAGCUCUGCCAGAAACCAUGAUGAAGGCGAUCGGACAAAUUGCAACUUCUCCAAAAAAGUCGCUAAGACACCUGCCCCACGGUGGGCGCCAACUGUCGUGGUUCUAAGUCUGACAGUAGAAUGGGGGGUAAGUAUGGAAAGGCAAGGUCCUAGCUAUGGAGUAGUUGUACACACGGGUGUUUAGCGAGUUCAGGCCCUUCUCUGAGGAAGUAACAGCCCUACGUCUCGGAGCCCGGAGGCGGUCGACUGAUCUCUGUGUAUAUGAGUUACAGGGGUGCGAAACUUUCUACCAGUGGAGGGGGGUGGCUUAUAUAGAGGACGCCAGGACCCCAGCCAGCCCACGUAGGGGGGGUAAAAGUACAUUAAGGCUGGGCGUUAUUGGUAACGCCCUACAUAAAGUGUCAUCAUGACCAUUAAGACUAUUUAAUUACAAACCGUUUGGAUGCAGAGUAGAUCCUGAACUUCCGAUAGUCGAGUGCGUCUUCAUGGUCGAGUGUCUUCUAGCCGGUCGAGUGGAGUCUCCCUUGGUCGAGUGGAGCUUCUUUUGGUCGACUGGAAGGUAGCUUCAUAUGAUAAUGUCCUUGGGCAUGGUAUCCUAGAUAGGUCCAUGACCCUACCCUAGGUACAUAACCUCAUCAGUGACCCCGUGGACGAAAAAGGUCUGAACAUUUUUCUGAUUUGCACACACCCUGUCGAUCCUGGACACACCAGAAAAGGCCAAUCUUUUUUAUUUAGCUGCCUAUGUUUUUACACAAAACUAUGAAGAACAUAGAGGGCAGCUUUGGGUCACGGAAAAAACUUAUACUGUGUGCAAAAGAAAUCAUGAUUUCAGCAGCACUGAAUAUGUACAGCAAAGGUCGAAACAAUUUAUCAAAAAAUGUGUCUGUGUUUCAUUCUUCCGCAAUACAAUAAGAAGUCCACCACUAAAGCUUUUUCCUCCUCCACAAGUAAAGUCCCUUAUCCUCCGGUCGGCGUCGCCGUCGGUCCGCCCCAUCUCUGAUGGCCUCUGGGCCAUGGAGUCGCCGAGGAUCCCAGCCCUUGUUCUCCUCCUUGUUAGAUUUAGCGUCUUGGUUGGGGUUGGGUGGAGGCGGCGAUGUCCCUUAAUAGGAAUAAUGUAUGAUUGGUUAUCUUUGUAAGUAUCUUCGAGUUAUCAGUUUGGUUUGGCCUACUAGAUUUAUCUUUCUUGCAAUGUUAGAAGUGCUUAGCUUUGGGUUCAAUCUUGCGGUGUCCUUUCCCAGUGACAGCAGGGGCAGCAAGGCACGUAUUGUAUUGUUGUCAUCGAGGAUAAAAAGAUGGGGUUUAUAUCAUAUUGCUUGAGUUUAUCCCUCUACAUCAUGUCAUCUUGCCUAAUGUGUUACUUUGUUCUUAUGAAUUUAAUACUCUAUAUGCAAGCUGGAUAGCGGUCAAUGUGUGGAGUAAUAGUAGUAAAUGCAGGCACGAGUCGGUCUACUUGUCGUGGACGUGAUGCCUUGAUACGUCUCCAACGUAUCUAUAAUUUUUUAUUGUUCCAUGCUAUUAUAUUACCCGUUUUGGAUGUUUAUGGACUUUACUUUACACUUUUAUAUUAUUUUUGGGACUAACCUACUAACCGGAGACCCAACCCGUAUUGCUGUUUUUUUUGCCUAUUUCAGUGUUUUGAAGAAAAGGAAUAUCAAACAGAGUCCAAACGGAAUGAAACCUUCAGGAGCGUGAGUUUUGGAACAAACGUGAUCCAAGGGACUUGGAGUGCAAGUCAAGAAGCAAUCGAGGCGGCCACCAGGGUGGAGGGCGCCCCCUAUCUCGUGGGCCCCUCGGGCGUCCACCGACCUACUUCUUCCUCCUAUAUAUACCCACGUACCACGAGAACAUCAAAGGCGACCACGAAAAACUAUUUCCACCACCGUAACCUUCUGUAUUCACGAGAUCCCAUCUUGGAGCCUUCGUCAUUGCUCCAUCGGAGAGGGAAUCAACCAUGGAGGGCUUCUACAUCAACACCAUAGCCUCUCCAAUUAGUUGUGAGUAGUUUACCACAGACCUUCGGGUCCAUAGUUAUUAGCUAGAUGGCUUCUUCUCUCUCUUUGAAUCUCAAUAUCAUGUUCUCCUCGAUCUUCUUGGAGAUCUAUACGGUGUAACUCUUUUUGCGAUGUGUUUGUCUCGAUCCGAUGAAUUGUGGGUUUAUGAUCAAGUUUAUCUAUGAGAAAUAUUUGAAUCUCCUCUGAAUUCUUUUAUGUGUGAUUAAGUUAUCUUUGCAAGUCUCUUCAAAUUAUCAGUUUGGUUUGGCCUACUAGAUUGAUCUUUCUUGCAAUGGGAGAAGUUCUUAGCUUUGGGUUCAAUCUUGCGGUGUCCUUUCCCAGUGACAGCAGGGGCAGCAAGGCAUGUAUUGUAUUGUUGUCAUCGAGGAUAAAAAGAUGGGGUUCAUAUCAUAUUGCAUGAGUUUAUCCCUCUACAUCAUGUCAUCUUUCUUAAUGCGUUACUCUGUUAUUUAUGAACUUAAUACUCUAGAUGCAUGCUGGAUAGCGGUCGAUGUGUGGAGUAAUAGUAGUAGAUGCAGGCAGGAGUCGGUCUACUUGUUAUGGACGUGAUGCCUAUAUACAUGAUCAUGCCUAGAUAAUCUCAUAAUUAUUUGCUUUUCUAUCAAUUGCUCGACAGUAAUUUGUUCACCCACCGUAAUACUUAUGCUAUCUUGAGAGAAGCCACUAGUGAAACCUAUGGCCCCCGGGUCUAUCUUUUAUCAUAUAAGCUUUCAAUCUACUUUUAUUUGCAUCUUUACUUUUCCAAUCUAUAUUAUAAAAUACCAAAAAUAUAUUUAUCUUAUCAUACUAUCUCUAUCAGAUCUCACUUUCGUAAGUGGCCGUGAAGGGAUUGACAACCCCGUUAUUGCGUUGGUUGCGAGUUCUUGUUUGUUUGUGUAGGUGCGUCGGACUUUUGAGGAGCCUCCUACUGGAUUGAUACCUUGGUUCUCAAAAACUGAGGGAAAUACUUACGCUACUAUUGUUGCAUCACCCUUUCCUCUUCAAAGAAAACCAACGCAAGCUCAAGACGUAGCAUGCCUAUAUACAUGAUCAUGCCUAGAUAUUCUCAUAACUAUGCACUUUUCUAUCAACUGCUCGACAGUAAUUUGUUCACCCGCCGUAAUAUUUAUGCUAUCUUGAGAGAAGCCACUAGUGAAACCUAUGGCCCCGGGUCUAUUUUCCAUCAUAUAAGUUUCCGAUCUACUUUAUUUAGCAAUCUUUACUUUUCAAUCUAUAUCAUAAAAAUACCAAAAAUAUUUAUCUUAUUAUUAUCUCUAUCAUAUCUCACUUUCGCAAGUGGCCGUGAAAAGAUUGACAACCCCUUUAUCGCGUUGGUUGCGAGGUUCUUGUUUGUUUAUGUAGGUACGAGGGACUUGCGUGUAGCCUCCUACUGGAUUGAUACCUUGGUUUUCAAAAGUUGAGGGAAAUACUUACGCUACUUUGCUGCAUCACCCUUUCCCGCUUCAAGGGAAAACCAACGCAGUGCUCAAGAGGUAGCAAGAAGGAUUUCUGGCGCCGUUGCCGGGGAGGUCUACGCACAAGUCAAGACAUACCAAGUACCCAUCACAAACUCUUCUCCUCGCAUUACAUUAUUUUCCAUUUGCCUCUUGUUUUCCUUUCCCCCACUUCACCCUUGCCGUUUUAUUCGCGCUCCCUUUCCCGUUCGCCUCUUUUUCCGCUUGCUUCUUGUGGUACUUGCUUUCACUAUGUCUGAAACUGGGGAGGUUAUCAUUGAUAAGGACAAUAGUAAUAACAUGGGAAACUUUGAUGCUUUUGAUGAUCCUACUGAAGAAACCACUAUCUUACAUACUAAAAGAUUUCGAAUCGGUAGUGGUAAUAUUAUUGGAAAAGGGGUUAUUCAAGAUUCUUUACUUGUGUUGGUGCUUUACCUUCUAUGGGUGGAUCUAUUCUUCAUAGAACUAGUAGUCUUGCGGAUGCUAUAUCCUUGCUUAUAGUUGAACUUGAAAGACAGUUUAUGCAUAUGCAUCCUUGCAUACAAAGGAUUUUUCUAGAAUUUUCCAAUAUUGAGCAUUCUUCUGUUAAGCGCGCAGCUACUAUCUUUUUGGCACAUGAGUUCAGAUUUAUAAUAAAAGAAGCCAGAGAAAUCUUUGCGCACUAUAGGGUGGACGCUGGUCGCCCUCCCAUUUAGGCGAUCCUUUUUAAUCAAGAAGACAUAAUGCGUUUACAAUCCUUAGAUCGUGUUGCUUUUAAUGAAAACCUUAGGAAAAAGGUUCCUACCGAUGUUCUAGUUGAUAGAAUCUCUGAACUUAAUGAUGAUUUUGCUAUUCAUAACAAUGGGUUGGGAUUUUCUCUUGAGCAAAGGCUCAUGACUUUUUGCCAAAAGAAUGCUUAUAAUGAUGAAUUGGUUGUGUAAUAUGAAGGGCCAAAGGAGGAACCCAUACCUCCCGAGCUUGAUCUUGGGGACUUUUGUCCCAUUAAAUUUAGCCCUUUUGAUUACUUUUGCUUGCCACAAAGAAAACUUGUUGUUGAACGUAGGGAAUAUGAGAUGAGUUUUCGUGAUUUACCUUAUCAUUACGGCAAUAAUUAGAUCUAUUCUCGCUUUUAUGCCUAGCUAGGGGCGUUAAACGAUAGCGCUUGUUGGGAGGCAACCCAAUUUUAUUUUUGUUCUUUACUUUUUGCUCCUGUUUAGUAUUAAAUAAUUCAUCUAGCCUCUGGUUAGAUGUGGUUUUAUGUUUUAGUUAGUGUUUGUGCCAAAUAGAACCUAUAGGAUCAUCUUGGGUGAUAGUUAAUUUGAUCUUGCUAAAAAACAGAAACUUUUGCGCACACGAGAAUAAUUUUAAUAAAUCACAGAAACAUGAUUUUGAGUUGAUUAUUUUUUAAGAAGAUUAAUAGACAAAUUUACUAGGACUUCCUAUUUUCGUAGGACUUUUAAGGUUCUAGAAGUAUUCGAAAGUUACAGAUUACUACAGACUGUUCUGUUUUUGACAGAUUCUGUUUUUUGUGUGUUGUUUGCUUAUUUUGAUGAAUCUAUGGCUAGUAUCGGGGGGUAUGAACCAUAGAUAAGUUGGAAUACUGCAGGUUUAACACCAAUAUAAAUAAAGAAUGAUUUCAUUACAGUACCUUAAAGUGGUGGUUUGCUUUUUUGCACUAACGGAGCUCAUGAGAUUUUUUGUUGAGUUUUGUGUUGUGAAGUUUUCAAGUUUUGGGUAAAGAUUUGAUGGAUUAUGGAAUAAGGAGUGGCAAGAGCCUAAGCUUGGGUAUGCUCAAGGCACCCCAAGAUAAAUUCAAGGACAACCAAAAGCCUAAGCUUGGGGAUGCCCCGGAAGGCAUCCCCUUGUCUUCAUCUAUCAGUAACUUUACUUGGAGCUAUAUUUUUAUUCACCACAUGAUAUGUGUUUUGCUUGGAGCGUCUUGAAUGAUAUGAGUCUUUGAUUUUUAGUUUACCACAAUCAUCCUUGCUGUACACACAUUUUGGGAGAGACACACAUGAAUCGGAAUUUAUUAGAAUACUCUAUGUGCUUCACUUAUAUCUUUUGAGCUAGAUAAUUUUGCUCUAGUGCUUCACUUAUAUCUUUUUAGAGCACGGCGGUGGUUUUAUUUUGUAGAAAUUAUUGAUCUCUCAUGCUUCACUUAUAUUAUUUUGAGAGUCUUUUAGAACAGCAUGGUAUUUGCUUUGGUUAUAAAAUUAGUCCUAAUAUGAUGGGCAUCCAAGUUGGGUAUAAUAAAAAUUGUCAUAGAAAGUGCAUGAAACACUAUAAGAAAUUUGAUACUUGAUAAUUGUUUUGAGAUAUAAAGGUGGUAAUGUUAGAGUCAUGCUAGUUGGGUAAUUAUGAAAUUGAGAAAUACUUGUGUUAAAGUUGGCAAGUCCCGUAGCAUGCACGUAUGGUAAACGUUGUGUGACAAAUGUGUUGCACGGGGUGUUCUUUUGAUUGCCUUCCUUAUGUGUGGAGGUCGGGAUCGCGCGAUGGUUAACUCCUACCAACCCUUCCCCUAGGAGCAUGCGUAGUAGUACUUUGCUUCGAGGGCUAAUAAACUUUUGCAAUAAGUAUAUGAGUUCUUUAUGACUAAUGUGAGCCCAUGGAUUAUACGCACUCUCACCCUUCCACCAUUGCUAGCCUCUCUUGUGCCGCGCAACUUUCGCCAGUAUCAUACACCCACCAUUUACCUUCCUCAAAACAGCCACCAUACCUACCUAUUAUGGAAUUUCUAUAGCCAUUCCAAGAUAUAUUGCCAUGCAACUCUCCACCGUUCCGUUUAUUAUGACACGCUCCAUCAUUGUCAUAUUGCUUUUGCAUGAUCAUGUAGUUGACAUCGUAUUUGUGGCAAAGCUACCGUUAUAAUUCUUUCAUACAUGUCACUCUUGAUUCAUUGCAUAUCCUGGUACACCGCUGGAGGCAUUCACAUAGAGUCAUAUUUUGUUCUAAGUAUUGACUUGUAAUUCUUGAGUUGUAAAUCAAUAAAAGUGUGAUGAUCUUCAUUAUUAGAGCAUUGUCCCAAGUGAGGAAAGGAUGAUGGAGACUAUGAUUCCCCCACAAGUCACUAUGAGACUCCGGACCUCAUGAUAAAUAAAAGAGGCCAAAGAAGCCCAAAUAAAAAAGAGAGGCCAAAGAAGCCCACCCAAAAAAAUGAGAGAAAAAGAGAGAAGGGACAUUGUUACUAUGCUUUUUCCAGACUUGUGCUUCAAAGUAGCACCAUGAUCCUCAUGGUAGAGUCUCCUAUGUUGUCACUUUCAUAUACUUGUGGGAAUUUUUCAUUAUAGAACUUGGCUUGUAUAUUACAAUGAUGGGCUUCCUCAAAAUGCCCUAGGUCUUUGUGAGUAAGCGAGUUGGAUGCACACCCACUUAGUUUCUUUUGUUGAGCUUUCACACAUUUAUAGCUCUAGUGCAUCUGUUGCAUGGCAAUCCCUACUCACUCACGUUGAUAUCUAUUAAUGGGCAUCUCCAUAGGCCGUUGAUACGCCUAGUCAAUGUGAGACUUUCUCCUUUUUUGUCUUCUCCACACAACCUCCAUCAUCAUAUUCUAUUCCACCCAUAGUGCUAUAUCCAUGGCUUACGCUCAUGUAUUGCGUGAGAGUUGAAAACGCUGAAGCGCGUUAAAAAGUAUGAACCAAUUGCUUGGCUGAAACCGGGGUUAUGCAUGAUGGGAGUAUUUUGUGUGACAAAAAUGAAGCAUAGCCUAACUAUAUGAUUUUGUAGGGAUAAGCUUUCUUUGGCUACAUUAUUUUGAUAAGACAUGAUUACUUGUUAGUAUGCUUAAAGUAUUACUAUUUUUAUGUUAAUAUGAACUUUUAUUUUGAAUCAUUUGGAUCUGAACAUUCAUGCCACAAUAAAGAAAAUUACAUUGAGAAAUAUGCUAGGUAGCAUUCCACAUCAAAAAUUCUGUUUUUAUCAUUUACCUACUCGAGGACGAGCAGGAAUUAAGCUUGGGGAUGCUUGAUACGUCUCCAAGGUAUCUAUAAUUUUUUAUUGUUCCAUGCUAUAUAUUACCCGUUUUGGAUAUUUAUGGGUUUUACUAUACACUUGUAUAUCAUUUUUUGGACUAACCUAUUAACCGGAGGCCCAGCCCAAAUUGUUGUUUUUGCCUAUUUCAGUGUUUCGCAGAAAAGGAAUAUCAAACGGAGUCCAAACGGAAUGAAACCUUCGGGAGAGUUAUUUUUAAAACAAACGCAAUCCAGGAGACUUGGAGUGGAUGUCAAGAAAAAAACAAGGCGGCCAUGAGGCAGGGAGGCGCGCCCUAGGGGGGUGGGCGCGCCCCCCACCCUCGUGGGCCCCUCGUGGCUCCUCUGACCGACUUUCUUCGCCUAUAUAUAUCUACAUACCCUGAAAACAUCCAGGAGCACCACGAAACCCUAUUUCCACAACCGCAACCUUCUGUACCCGUGAGAUCCCAUCUUGGAGCUUUUUCCGGCGCUCCGCCGGAGGGGGAAUCGAUCACGGGGGGCUUCUACAUCAACACCAUAGCCUCUCCGAUGAGUUGUGAGUAGUUUAUCACAGACCUUCGGGUCCAUAGUUAUUAGCUAGAUGGCUUCUUCUCUCUCUUGAAUCUCAAUACAAAGUUCUCCUCGAUCUUCUUGGAGAUCUAUUCGAUGUAAUUCUUUUUGCGAUGUGUUUGUGGAGAUCCAUGAAUUGUGGGUUUAUGAUCAAGUUUAUCCAUGAGAAAUAUUUGAAUCUCCUCUAAAUUCUUUUAUAUAUGAUUGGUUAUCUUUGCAAGUCUCUUCGAAUUAUCAGUUUGCUUUGGCCUACUAGAUUUAUCUUUUUUGCAAUGGGAGAAGUGCUUAGCUUUGGGUUCAAUCUUGCGGUGUCCUUUCCCAGUGACAGCAGGGGCAGCAAGGCACGUAUUGUAUUGUUGCCAUCGAGGAUAAAAAGAUGGGGUUUAUAUCAUAUUGCUUGAGUUUAUCCCUCUACAUUAUGUCAUCUUGCCUAAUGCGUUACUUUGUUCUUAUGAACUUAAUACUCUAGAUGCAUGCUGGAUAGCGGUCGAUAUGUGGAGUAAUAGUAGUAGAUGCAGGCAGCAAUCGGUCUACUUGUCGCGGACGUGAUGCCUAUAUACAUGAUCAUGCCUAGAUAUUCUCAUAACUAUGCACUUUUCUAUCAAUUGCUCGACAGUAAUUUGUUCACCACCGUAAUACGUAUGCUAUCUUGAGAGAAGCCACUAGUGAAACCUCUGGCCCACGGGUCUAUCUUUUAUCAUAUAAGCUUUCAAUCUACUUUUAUUUGCAUCUUUACUUUUCCAAUCUAUAUUAUAAAAAACCAAAAAUAUAUUUAUCUUAUCAUACUAUCUCUAUCAGAUCUCACUUUCGCAAGUGGCCGUGAAGGGAUUGACAACCCCUUUAGCGCAUUGGUUGCGAGGUUCUUGUUUGUUUGUGUAGGUACGAGGGACUUGCGCGUAGCCUCCUACUGGAUUAAUACCUUGGUUCUCAAAAGCUGAGGGAAAACUUACGCUACUUUGCUGCAUCACCCUUUCCUCUUCAAGGGAAAACCAACACAGGGCUCAAGUGGUAGCAAUGGGUUUUCCACUGAAUCUCACAUUCCAGGAUCCUAGCAUUUAUAGCAUGAAAUAUAAACUCUUAAUAAUGAACCUGGAAAUAUAAUAAUAUUAUAUUAUUGCCUCUAGGGCAUAUUUCCAAUAGUAUUCAACUUGCACUGAAGUCAAUAAUCUAGUUAGCACAUUUUUAUUUACACCAAUGGCAGUCUGGUGUUUGUCCAUACUCAGCUUGUGGUAUAGCCUUCAUCCCAUUGGAUCUUGAAAACUUCAUAUCCACGUGUAUCAUAUGCAUUUCAAUGCCUCUAUCAUGAUGGCUUUGUAUGUAUUGAAUCACUAGAAGGACCUAUGAUUCCUUGGACUGAGCUAUAGAACCACUAUUAAGUAUAGUGUUUCAUUGGCACAAUCAUCUAGAAAUCAUAACAAUCUCAUAAAUGAAAGUGUUAUUGAUCACUCUCCAUUGUUGCUUCUAAAGCAACAAUCUACUCAGCCCUCUGUUAUAGAUUUCACCACAGUAACCAACAACCCAACAAACACACUGCAAAAAACAUUACAUCGGAUAGAACUCCAAGAAGAUCGAGGAGAACAUUGUAUUGAAGAUCAAAGAGAGAAGAAGCCACUAGCUACUAGCUAUGGACUCGUAGGUCUGCGGUGAAUUGCUCACACAUCAUCGGAAGGCGGCACGGAUGAUGCAGAAGCCCUCAGUGAUCGAUUCCCCCUCCGGCGGAGUACCGGUAAAGCCCUCCAGAUGGAAUCGCGGAAGAAUAGAAGCUUGUGGUGGUGGAAAAAGUGUUUCGGAUGGCUCUCUGUUGGUUUGGGAAUAUUUGUGAAUUUAUAGGCUUGGAAUUAGGUCAAACGGAGUUGCGUGGGCCCAUAAGCUCAGGGGGCGCACUUUGUGAGCUCGUGGCUCUCUUGUAGCUCUUCUGGCCUCCUCCCGAACCUUCUAGGACCCCUUCUGGUCCAGAGAAAAUAACCAUAAUUCAUCGUAUUUGGACUUCGUUUGGUAUUGUUUUUCUGAAAAGCCAAAACAAGUAAAAAAUAGGAACUAGCACUGGGCAAUGGGUUAAUAGGUUAGUCCCAAAAGUGGUAUAAAAUAGCAUAAAAAUGCAUAUAAUCCAGGAUUGAUAAUAUAAUAGCAUGAAACAAUCAAAAGUUAUAGAUAUAUUGGAGACGUAUCAGCAUUCCCAAGCUUAAUUCCUGCUCGUCCUUGAGUAGGUAAAUGAGAAUAACAGAAUUUUUGUGUAUACAUGUAUUAUUUGUAGUGAGAUAUGUACAUGACAAAGAGCGAUACUACUGCCAGGAUCAGACCAAUGUACAUGACAUAAGAAAGAGGUGGCACAUCUCUGAAUGCAAGGUCCAUGGCAACAAGCAGACGCAAUGGAAAAGACAGAUUGUUUUGUCAUCUUUUGCAGCGCCAUCCUUUAGUAUGUCAGGGAGCAGCUAAGGAAUGAAAUCAUGCUCCAUUUUGGAUCAUAAGAUUUUAAUUUGACCAUAAGCUAAGCCUCCACCACACGAAAAGUGAUGAAAAUACAAAAUUUGUUAUGUGAUGCAAUACAAUGCAAAUCUUAUGUACUCCCUCUGUAAAGAAAUAUAAGAGCGUUUAGAUCAUUACUUUACACGUUACCAUCGUAAUCUCAAGCUUUGAAUUUAGUACUACUCAUUAAUCAAUUGUGUGAUCUUAAGAAAAUGCUAUACCUCUAAAAUGAACAACUAAAAGGUCAUGAGACACGUAGUGAUCUCCAAAUAAAUUGGUUGUUCUAGGGGAAAAGUGAUGAAAAGUGUUGUUCUAGGGGAAAAGUGAUGACAAGCAUGGAUUAUCUGUUUCGUCAUCUUGGGAGGGGGAGGGUCAUCCACAUGACCACAAGCCAAGCCCACACCCCACGUCAAGUGAUGCAAAUCCCAAUCAUGUCAUGUCAUGAUUUACAAUGCAAAUCUUCUUUAAAACUUUACACAUUGGCAUCACUAUCUUAAGCUUGGCAUUUGGUACUCCCUACGAUCCAUAUUUGUUGUCGCUCAAACGGAUGUAUCUAGCACUAAAAUACAUCUAGAUACAUCUGUUUCAGCGACAACUAAUAUGAAUCAAAGGGAAUACUACUAAUUAGUUGUGUGAUCUUAAUAAAACACCAUGCUUCUAAAAUGAACAGGUCACGAGGCGUGUACCAAUCUCCAGAUGAAUUUGAUGUUCUACAGAAUUCAUAUGUGCGGAAAGAUAAGACUGAAAACCGCACACUUACCCGGGAUAGGAUGGGAUAUUUUGAGAAAUAGAUAAGGAUUAGUUCAGGUUUCUCCCAUAUAUACGAAAUGACUGGACGAUGACUAAUUAAACGAGAGACAACAAACCACUUAUCUUCCUUUAUGACUCAAUUGAUCGAGAGCCUUCCCAAGUUGCUUUUGCGGUUUUGUUGGUCACAAUGCAGAUGCUUUGAACCUUUGCACAACCGUGGGCAUGUGGCUCCCGUUAAAUAGCCACAAGAUACCAUAAAAUUAGCACUUCCAAAGUUCCCAUUUACUCUCUCUUCCUCUCAAGUCUAACCAAAGCCCAACAAACCACCACCUCGGCCAUGGCAACCACCCUCGCCACCGACGUCCGCCUCUCCAUCGCGCACCAGACCCGCUUCGCCCUCCGUCUCGCCUCCACCAUCUCAUCCAACCCUAAGUCUGCUGCCAGCAAUGCCGCCUUCUCCCCGGUCUCCCUCUACUCCGCACUUAGCCUCCUCGCCGCUGGCGCGGGCAGUGCCACUCGGGACCAACUCGUCGCCACACUCGGGACAGGCAAGGUCGAGGGACUCCACGCGCUCGCCGAGCAGGUGGUCCAGUUUGUGCUCGCCGACGCGUCCUCCACUGGUGGUCCGCNNN